Molecule: long non-coding RNA, 346 nt
Filed under: Calidris pugnax (ruff)
Lineage: Eukaryota; Metazoa; Chordata; Aves; Charadriiformes; Scolopacidae
Description: lncRNA (ENSCPUG00000002756.1)
Source: RNAcentral
CAGGAUCUAUGAAUGUAGAACCGCCAAUGCUCACUGACAAUACAGUAACUGGGACACAUUUAAAGGUAGUAUCCAGACAUCUUUAUAAGAGGAAGAACACUCUUACCUCGCCCCUUUCCCGGUCGCUAAGGCAGCCAAUGGACUCUGGUGUCCUACAAAGUUGGAUCAGGCAUGCAACUUCCCACUGUGCUGACUCCAAUAUGGCAGACUUCAUCACUGUUAUUGUUUCUGUUCAAUAACAUGGCAACGGCUUACAAAUUCUCUUGUGGUAAAAAGGGAACUUAGGAGCAAAUGGGAACAGCCUCCACCACCUCCAGCAUCAAGGGCCUGUGCACAUGGAUCUGCA